Molecule: non-coding RNA, 147 nt
Organism: Alteromonas naphthalenivorans
Lineage: Bacteria; Pseudomonadati; Pseudomonadota; Gammaproteobacteria; Alteromonadales; Alteromonadaceae
Source: Rfam
CCCAUAAAAAAUGCCCAGAACAUAGGUUCUGGGCAUAGGGGAAUGGCUCAUUGCUGAGCCGUGCGCUAACUAUUGCAAGGGAGAAGUGCAUGCAAAUUCUUUCAGACGGACAAUAACUAUAGUCCAUAUUUGUUCAUUUUAUAAACU